GCCCGGGUGGUGAAACUGGUAGACACGCUAUCUUGAGGGGGUAGUGGCGCAAGCCGUGCCGGUUCGAGUCCGGCCCCGGGCACCA
RNAcentral lists this transfer RNA (85 nucleotides) under Marinobacter sp. RNAcentral describes it as "tRNA-Leu". It matches the Rfam family "tRNA". From Rfam's summary of the family: Transfer RNA (tRNA) molecules are approximately 80 nucleotides in length. Lineage: Bacteria; Pseudomonadati; Pseudomonadota; Gammaproteobacteria; Pseudomonadales; Marinobacteraceae. RNAcentral also lists the same sequence under 7 other names. The record is from RNAcentral.